CAGGCUUAACACAUGCAAGUCGAACGCAGCCCUCCGGGUGAGUGGCAGACGGGUGAGUAACACGUGGGAAUCUACCCAUCAGGACGGAAUAACCGCGGGAAACGGCGGCUAAUCCCCGAUGAGCCUACGGGUGAAAGCGUUAGCGCCUGAAGAAGAGCUCGCGGCUGAUUAGUUAGUUGGUGGGGUAAGGGCCUACCAAGGCGACGAUCCGUAGCUGGUCUGAGAGGAUGAUCAGCCACACUGGGACUGAGACACGGCCCAGACUCCUACGGGAGGCAGCAGUGGGGAAUAUUGGACAAUGGGCGCAAGCCUGAUCCAGCCAUGCCGCGUGAGUGAUGACGGCCCUAGGGUUGUAAAGCUCUUUCGCAGGGGAAGAUAAUGACGGUAGCCGGAGAAGAAGCCCCGGCUAACUUCGUGCCAGCAGCCGCGGUAAUACGAAGGGGGCUAGCGUUGUUCGGAAUUACUGGGCGUAAAGCGCGCGCAGGCGGAU
Molecule: ribosomal RNA, 490 nt
Filed under: uncultured bacterium
Lineage: Bacteria
Description: bacterial SSU rRNA
Rfam family: Bacterial small subunit ribosomal RNA
Source: RNAcentral